CUCUAGAAUCUGGAAAUUCUGGAAUAAGAAGUGAUCUACCGGACAUGGACUUGGUUGAGCUGGAAGUGAAUAUCCUGUUAAGCUGGAAUAUUCUGCUGAUAUGGAUUUUAUAUUCCAACACACCCUCCUCAAGAUGGACUAGGAGAUCCAUCUUGAAGAUUAAUGAGUGAAACAUGGAUGUAAAUACACUGCUCUUUUGUUUUCUGACAUGGCAGUUUGAGGAAUCAAGCCCAACACAAUCACAUACAAUACUCUCAUCGAUGUUUAUGGAAAAUCAAAGAGGUUACAGAGAUGGAAUCAGCUCUUGUACAAAUGCUUUGGUUGCAAGAAUGUGAACCGAAUGCAUGGACCAUGAACUCCACCUUGUGAGCUUUUGGUGGCAGGCUGGCAGCAGGCGAAGGGAUAUAAUGGAAAAGUGCUAUGAGAAAUUUCAGAGUGCUGGGAUUGAAUCGAACAUAAAAAAUUGAGCUCAAUUGGAAUCCAUUCCUUCUUCAAUUGACCGGUGGAAAACUUUCUGCAGAGGAGCUUUGUUUGACAUUUUUCCGAACACCUUGUAUGCACAUCAGAACUUUGAAUUUUCUUUGAUCAUAUACGAGUUGAAUCUCCAUGAUACAGUAACAUAUUCCAGUAUAAUCUUCAAUGACAAGCAUGAAACCUGCUAAAGUGAGUAUUCCUCUUCGGUCUCCACUGUGAACGCAUCGAAUUUGCAACUUCGAAUGUUGGUAAAUCGAGCUUAAAAGUUGUAGAAGAGGAUGAUUCUGAAUCCGAAAAUGACAUCUAAUUAAACUUUUAUCUCAGCAAUGGAGGUGAAAUUGGAUUAUAUGCAAAUUUGCUUGAGAAAUUACGUUGUCAAUCGGAACUCUGGGAGAAUGCAGCCACCAAGAGUUCAAUGCGUCACACAUAUUUUACCAAAUGAUGGCAGAGAACAGAAUAAUUCCAGCAAAAGUAUUUCAGCUUCAAUUAUCAUCUGGAGAUUGGAAGGAUCUGCCAUCACCGACUGAAAUCCAUUGUCCAAUUCUGUCAUUUUCAGGCCUAGACUUCCAGCUAUACAAUUUGAUGCAAAAUUCCACACAAUAGACAACAUCAGUACUGAUUAAUUGGGGCCAGAUUUGAGUGACGUGUGGAAAAAUAAAGCGGCAGUAGAAAAUUAGAAGAAACUAAAAUCUGGACUUAUUUUUGAUGAAGGAACUAAAAUCUGCUGGAAAUGAGACUUCCAGAAUUAUUCCAAGAUAGAAGAAAAUUAGAUCUGCUUCAUUGAGCAGAACACAGGAAAUGGAGAUGAAUUAACUCCAGAAAAAAUAGCAGCAGGAAGCAAAUAUUUUGCUCUGAUACCAUAUUAGGUUUAUUGAAUGAAAAACAAUGUAGUAAACUCCAUAAGGAGAAGAACAAAACACUCCAUUAAAGGAGGAAUUACACUCCAUGAUAGGAAGAACAAACAAUUUCAAAAUAGGAGGAUGAUAACAUUCCAUAAUAUGAGGAAGAGAAAGACACUCCACAAAGGAGGAAAGACACUCCAUAUAGGAGGAAGAAACCUCCAUGGAAGGAGGGAUUGGAG
This 1555-nucleotide long non-coding RNA is filed under the name Olea europaea subsp. europaea. Lineage: Eukaryota; Viridiplantae; Streptophyta; Magnoliopsida; Lamiales; Oleaceae. The record is from RNAcentral.